RNAcentral lists this small RNA (71 nucleotides) under Salmonella enterica subsp. salamae. Its description in RNAcentral is "partial RtT sRNA". It matches the Rfam family "RtT RNA", at positions 1 to 71 of the family's 130-position model. Rfam says of the family: This family represents a bacterial cis-regulatory element known as RtT RNA. The exact function of RtT is unknown although it is thought that it may be involved in changing the cellular response in relation to amino acid starvation. The record is from RNAcentral. Lineage: Bacteria; Pseudomonadati; Pseudomonadota; Gammaproteobacteria; Enterobacterales; Enterobacteriaceae. RNAcentral also lists the same sequence under 1 other name.
UAUUUCUCCGUACGGGGAAGGAUGAGAAGCUUCGACUAAGGUUCGAUUCGAGCGCAGCGAGAAAGCGUUGC